RNAcentral lists this ribosomal RNA (391 nucleotides) under actinobacterium BAL234. RNAcentral's name for it is "bacterial SSU rRNA". It matches the Rfam family "Bacterial small subunit ribosomal RNA", at positions 63 to 458 of the family's 1533-position model. Lineage: Bacteria; Bacillati; Actinomycetota; Actinomycetes. The record is from RNAcentral.
CGAGCGGUAAGGCCUUUCGGGGUACACGAGCGGCGAACGGGUGAGUAACACGUGGGUGAUCUGCCCUGCACUUCGGGAUAAGCCUGGGAAACUGGGUCUAAUACCGGAUAUGACCUCCUAUCGCAUGGUGGGUGGUGGAAAGAUUUAUCGGUGCAGGAUGGGCCCGCGGCCUAUCAGCUUGUUGGUGGGGUAAUGGCCUACCAAGGCGACGACGGGUAGCCGACCUGAGAGGGUGACCGGCCACACUGGGACUGAGACACGGCCCAGACUCCUACGGGAGGCAGCAGUGGGGAAUAUUGCACAAUGGGCGAAAGCCUGAUGCAGCGACGCCGCGUGAGGGAUGACGGCCUUCGGGUUGUAAACCUCUUUCAGCAGGGACGAAGCGCAAGUG